CACUGAUACAUUCUUUUACAGUCCACUUUGUACAUCCACAAAAAACUUUUUCAUACUUAUCACUUAUAAAAAAUCCUUUCCCAAUCUCUUUAAAGCCUUCCCUCUUAUUUCCUAUUUAUUCUGUAGAGAACUUAUCUGUACGUUUCCAUAAAGUCUACCCCAUUAAAUUGUAAACUGCUUGAGGAUAGUGACUAAGUUUUCUAUUUUUUGUCUCCCUAAUAACUUAUAAUGCCUAGCAUGGUAGGCACUUAAUGUUUAUUGAACCAUUUCUACAUGACAUCCCUUUAAAUAUCUGCAGAAAACUCUCAUGGCCCAUUUUCCAACUAAGUUUUCUCAUAUUCAGGUUACAUCCUUUAUUUGUUUAACCAAGUCUUCAAAUAGUCUGAUCUUGAGAAUCCUUAAUAAUGCUGGCCACUUUUCUCCUAGAUGUUUCUCAGCUUAAAAAUAAUCUUCCAGGAACAGCUAGAUGGCACAGUGGAUAGAGCACUGACCCUGGACUCAGGAAGAACUGAGUUCAAAUUUGGCCUUGGACACUUAGUACAUAUAAGCUAUGUUACUCUGGGCAAAUCACUAAACUUCAAUUGCCUCAAAAAAAAAAAAAAAAAAAAACCACCACCAUCCAAAAAGUUUUUUAAAAAAUGUCCUUCCUAAAUCUAGUUUCAGAACUUAAUAGAAUAUACCAGCACUGGUCUGAUCAGGAUGGAGUAUGUCUUCCUUUGGUCUGGACACUGCCUUUUCUCAUAUAUUAUGUCUGUGAACUAGCUCACUAACUUUUUGAGGUUUAAUCUAAUUUAUGUGAAGCUUGAAAUCUACUGCAAUCAUUAGAGCUUUUUCAGAUGAAUUUCCAUCAAACCAGCAUUCUCCUAAAUUGUACUUUUGAAUUGUGACAGUAUUAAUAUUUUAAUAAUCUAGUGUUUGACAAACCCAAAGACCCCAGUUUUUGGGAUAACGCAUUAUUUGACAAAAAUUGCUGGGAAAAUUGCAAAUUAGUAUGGUAGAAAGUAGGCAUUGACCCACACUUAACACCAUACAACAAGAUAAGGUCAAAAUGGGUUCAUGACCUAGGCAUAAAGAAUGAGAUUGUAAAUAAAUUGGAAGAGCAUAGGAUAGUUUACCUCUUAGAUCUGUCAAAGAGGAAGGAAUUUAUGACCAAAGAAGAACUAGAGAUCACUACUGACUACAAAAGAGAAAAUUUUGAUUAUAUCAAAUUGAAAAGAUUUUGUACAAACAAAACUAAUGCAGACAAGAUUAGAAGGGAAACAACCUGGGAAAACAUUUUUACAGUCAAAGGUUCUGAUAAAGGCCUCAUUUCUAAGAUAUAUAGAGAAUUGACUCUAAUUUAUAAGAAAUCAAGCCAUUCUCCAAUUGAUAAAUGGUCAAAGGAUAUGGACAAUUCUCAGACGAAGAAAUCGAAACUAUUUCUAUCCAUAUGAAAAUAUGCUCCAAGUCAUUAUUAAUCAGAGAAAUGCAAAUUAAGACAACUCUGAUACCACUACACACCUGCCAGAUUGGAUAGAAUGGCAGGAAAAGAUAAUGCAGAAUGUUGGAGAGGAUGUGGAAAAAGGAGGACACUGAUACAUUGUUGGUGAAAUUGUGAAUACAUCCAGCCAUUCUGGAGAGCAAUUUGGAACUAUGCUCAAAAAGUUAUCAAACUGUGCACACCCUUUGAUCCAGCAGUGUUUUUACUGGGCUUAUACCUCAAAGAGAUACUAAAGGAGGGAAAGGGACCUGUAUGUGCCAAAAUGUUUGUGGCAGCACUGUUUGUAGUGGCUAGAAGCUGGAAAAUGAAUGGAUGCCCAUCAAUUGGAGAAUGGUCGAGUAAACUGUGGUAUAUGAAUGUUAUGGAAUAUUACUGUUCUGUAAGAAAUGACCAGCAGGAUGAAUACAGAGAAGAUUGGCAAGACUUACAUGAACUGAUUGAUGCUAAGUGAAAUGAGCAGAACCAGGAGAUCAUUAUAUACCUCAACAAUGAUACUGUAUGAGGAUGUAUUCUGAUGGAAGUGGAUUUCUCAACAAAGAGAAGAUCUAACUCAGUUUCAACUGAUCAAGGAGGACAGAAGCAGCUACACCCAAAGAAAGAACACGGGGAAAUGAAUGUAAACUGCUUGCAUUUUUGUUUUUCUUCCCAGGUCAUUUUUACCUUCUGAAUCCAAUUCUUCCUGUGCAACAAGAGAACUGUUCAGUUCUGCACACAUAUAUCGUAUCUAGGAUACACUGUGACAUAUUUAACUUAUAUAGGACUGCUUGCCAUCUGGGGGAGGGAGUGGAGGAAGGGAGGGGAAAAAUCAGAAGUGAGUGCAAGGGAUAAUGUAAAAAAAAUUACCCAGGCAUGGGCUCUGUCAAUAAAAAAAAUUAUAAUAAAAAAAAAAAAAAAAAGACUAAUAUUUUUGUUAAUGAUCUGGAUAAAUGUUUAGAUGGCAUACUUAAUACAAAGUUGAAAGAGGUAACAUAAUGACAGAGAUAGCAAAUAAAAGAUCUUGAUAGGUUGGGAAUAUUGGGGCAGAUUCGGAAAAAACUUUAAACACCACAAAAUUAUGGACAGAUUAAUGUGGAACUUCACUAGAGACCUCCUCCCAAGAUUGUAACUCAAUACUACUGCUUGUUAAUAAGUAUUAAAUUCUGAAACUACUCGAUCAUAGUAGUUUUUUGUCAUCCAUCAAAAAAAAAGUUCAGACAAAAUAGAAAUUUCUUACCUUCAAAUUCUGCAAAUUGAAUAGGUCAACAAAUUUCAUUAAUACCUAGACUUUGAUUUCAAAAAGAAUUAACAGAGGUACUAGAAGAAUUGUUCUUUUGUGGGUGAUAUCCACCCACAAAGUAAUGCUGAAAUUAUUUGAAACCACUGCUUUGGGGAUUUAAUCAGUUAAUUUUUAGAUUAAAUUAUUCCCUUGUUAGUCAGUCAUGAGCUGUUAUUUCUUGAUGCAGUCAUGCAGGCUUCUUGUGAUCAAUUUCCUAUUAUUUUACUCCUAUUAUAGAUGUAUGCUAACCACCCAUUUAACAAUACAUUCUAGAACUUUUAUUGAUUUACCAACACACUAGCUAAAAGUUGGCCUAACAUCUCACCCACUAUGUCAUUAUUCAGAUGUUCUUACUGAGGUUAAGGGAAAACAACCAUUUUUUAAGAGUCUACAGUGCCAAGAAUCAUGCUAAGCACUUUACAAUGUCCUCUCAUUUAUUUCUAUUAACAACUCAGGGAAGUAGAUAGGUGCUUUUAAAUCAUCUCCAUUUUACAGUUAACUGAGACAGUAAUUAAAUGAAUUGCAUAGUCAACAACACAAUUUGAAAGUGUCUGAAACCACAUUUGUACUUGUCUUCCAGAUUAGAGACCCAUUGCUCUGAUGUCACACCUAGCUUCCUCUGAGGAAACAGAAUUGUAGAAAAUGGACCACUGACUCAGGACAGUGUGGUAUAGAGCAGGAUUCAGUAAUGGCCUGUAAAAUAUUUUAACAUUUCUAUUUAGUAAAGAUUAAGCUUAUCUGUUGAAUUAUUUUCAAGUAACAUUCCUAAGAAAACACUACAUUUCUUUUGUUUAUGAAAUUAAAAUGACUUCUCUCAUUUAAAUUUUCAUUUUGAGAUUCAAAUUUUCCAGCAUCAAUUUUUAUAUUUUUCAAAGUUCUUUUGGUAUAUAUUAAUUUUUGUACUUUCUCAA
This is a long non-coding RNA of Sarcophilus harrisii (Tasmanian devil), 3646 nucleotides long. NCBI's taxonomy places the organism in Eukaryota, Metazoa, Chordata, Mammalia, Dasyuromorphia, Dasyuridae. The record is from Ensembl.